GGUUGUAUAGUGUAGUGGUUAUCACGUCGGAUUCUGAAGUGCGCGAGCGCGGCAGAAUUCUUCCGGAGAUCUUGGUUCGAUUCCGAGUACGACCU
This 95-nucleotide transfer RNA is filed under the name Tilletia horrida. RNAcentral's name for it is "tRNA-Gln". It matches the Rfam family "tRNA". Rfam says of the family: Transfer RNA (tRNA) molecules are approximately 80 nucleotides in length. Their secondary structure includes four short double-helical elements and three loops (D, anti-codon, and T loops). Lineage: Eukaryota; Fungi; Basidiomycota; Exobasidiomycetes; Tilletiales; Tilletiaceae. The record is from RNAcentral.